AAGAGCCCUGGAAAGCUCUC
RNAcentral lists this non-coding RNA (20 nucleotides) under Arabidopsis thaliana (thale cress). Lineage: Eukaryota; Viridiplantae; Streptophyta; Magnoliopsida; Brassicales; Brassicaceae. The record is from RNAcentral.